UUCUUGUUCUGAAGUGUCUACUCUUU
RNAcentral lists this non-coding RNA (26 nucleotides) under Homo sapiens (human). Lineage: Eukaryota; Metazoa; Chordata; Mammalia; Primates; Hominidae. The record is from RNAcentral.